RNAcentral lists this small RNA (858 nucleotides) under Arabidopsis thaliana (thale cress). RNAcentral's name for it is "ATSL281790". Lineage: Eukaryota; Viridiplantae; Streptophyta; Magnoliopsida; Brassicales; Brassicaceae. The record is from RNAcentral.
GAUGAGAAUCGAUUUUUUGUAGAAGAAUUUUGUAAAAGAUGAAACCUUGGAGAAGGGUUUAAGGGUUUACAGAUGGCAGCUUGAGGUUUUUAUUGGGUUUUCAAAAUUGAUUGUUAAUUUUGUAAAUUCGAGAUUGUUUAUUUAGGAAUUGACAAAUACCAUUUCUCUGUUUGAAACUGUAACACCCAAUUUCAAAAAUAUAAUGGUGCAUGCGGAAAGGUUUAAAAGAAUUGAUUUAACCACCUAUAUCAUCAAAGUGCACAUAUCUUUUCAGUUAAACAUCCCGAUAGAAUUUCAGAAUUAAAUGUGUUUGGGCUUGAGUAGUUCAAGAUGGGUGAACUUCCGGAAAACAAUUGUCGGAACCAUGCGAGUGAACCCAAAGUAUGGGGAAAGAUCAUGUGGUGAUUUGUAGUUUUGGUAACAAGUCUUUAAAGCCUCUUGGACAUGACGCAUCGACCGUCAGACAGAGGUGGUGCCCAUAAGCCCGAAAGAGAACGUGGGGCCCACUGGUAGGGGCGGUCGUGACGUUACAGAAAUUUUUAGUUAUCGAGGGGUUUUUAGUGUAUGAAAUAACAUAUACAGAUAAUUCAAUUAUCAUUUUGUUUGAUUCGGUAUAGUUUAAAUUUUGGUUCAUAUUCGUUUUCUUAAUGUUAAAAUACAUAUUUCUAACUCAAAACCAAUUGAAAAUAAGUGGAUUGACCUAUUCCUCGAGAUAAUGUUCAAUGAACUAUCUCGAUGGAAUUAGAUCUUCCUGAACUAUCUCGAUGGAAUUAGAUCUUCCUUUGGGCCAUCAAUUAGUGGAGGUGAUCGGACCAUUUUAGAAUAUGGGUUUCCAACUAACUUAGUUUUUCCUCUCAC